CAGUAGCCACGGGAAUACGUAGGUGGCAAGCGUUGUCCGGAAUUAUUGGGCGUAAAGGGCUCGCAGGCGGUUUCUUAAGUCUGAUGUGAAAGCCCCCGGCUCAACUGGGGAGGGUCAUUGGAAACUGGGAAACUUGAGUGCAGAAGAGGAGAGUGGAAUUCCACGUGUAGCGGUGAAAUGCGUAGAGAUGUGGAGGAACACCAGUGGCGAAGGCGACUCUCUGGUCUGUAACUGACGCUGAGGAGCGAAAGCGUGGGGAGCGAACAGGAUUAGAUACCCGCGUAGUCCCUGUCUCUUAUAC
Molecule: ribosomal RNA, 301 nt
Filed under: uncultured bacterium
Lineage: Bacteria
Description: partial 16S ribosomal RNA
Rfam family: Bacterial small subunit ribosomal RNA
Source: RNAcentral